RNAcentral lists this ribosomal RNA (147 nucleotides) under Leucoagaricus subcretaceus. RNAcentral describes it as "partial 28S ribosomal RNA". It matches the Rfam family "Eukaryotic large subunit ribosomal RNA", at positions 1 to 146 of the family's 3401-position model. The record is from RNAcentral. Lineage: Eukaryota; Fungi; Basidiomycota; Agaricomycetes; Agaricales; Agaricaceae.
UGACCUCAAAUCAGGUAGGACUACCCGCUGAACUUAAGCAUAUCAAUAAGCGGAGGAAAAGAAACUAACAAGGAUUCCCCUAGUAACUGCGAGUGAAGCGGGAAAAGCUCAAAUUUAAAAUCUGGCGGUCUCUGGCUGUCCGAGUGU